Molecule: long non-coding RNA, 260 nt
Filed under: Elaeis guineensis (African oil palm)
Lineage: Eukaryota; Viridiplantae; Streptophyta; Magnoliopsida; Arecales; Arecaceae
Description: long non-coding RNA (EGUI_LNC004179)
Source: RNAcentral
GCUCCAGGAAAUUAAAAGCUUGCCAAAUAAAGCAGCUCCUGCAAUCCAAAGUCUGGAAUAACCCUUGAUUUUUAAAGAAGACAAAUAGACUAUAACAUUUCAGUUAUGAACCUUUUUCUAUUUUUUAUCAAGGGUUUGAGUUUCUGCAAGUUGGUUUAGAUAGGUAAACGGUAGUGAAUAUUCAAACUGUCUCUCUUGUUCUAUUUACUUCACUAUCUUGAUAUUGGAUACUGCACUAGUAUCAGCUACUACAGUAUCAG